UACAUGGGGGGCAAGCGUUGUUCGGAAUUACUGGGCAUAAAGGGUGCGUAGGCGGUUUGUUAAGUCACUGGUGAAAGUUUUCGGCCCAACCGGAAAAUUGCCUGUGAUACUGGCGAACUUGAGUGCGUGAGGGGUGGGGGGAACGAGCAGUGUAGCGGUGAAAUGCGUAGAUAUUGCUCGGAAGGCCGGAGCCGAAGGGGCCCCACUGGUACGUAACUGACGCUGAGGCACGAAAGCGUGGGGAGCAAACAGG
RNAcentral lists this ribosomal RNA (253 nucleotides) under uncultured bacterium. Its description in RNAcentral is "partial 16S ribosomal RNA". It matches the Rfam family "Bacterial small subunit ribosomal RNA", at positions 524 to 776 of the family's 1533-position model. The record is from RNAcentral.